This 463-nucleotide ribosomal RNA is filed under the name uncultured bacterium. RNAcentral describes it as "partial 16S ribosomal RNA". It matches the Rfam family "Bacterial small subunit ribosomal RNA", at positions 28 to 505 of the family's 1533-position model. The record is from RNAcentral.
GACGGACGCUGGCGGCGUGCUUAACACAUGCAAGUCGAACGGAAAGGCCCUAGCUUGCUGGGGUACUCGAGUGGCGAACGGGUGAGUAACACGUGGGUGAUCUGCCCUGCACUCUGGGAUAAGCCUAGGAAACUGGGUCUAAUACCGGAUAGGACCGUGCGCUAGUGUGUGCGGUGGGAAGAGUUUCGGUGCGGGAGGAGCGCGCGGCGUAUCAGCUUGUUGGUGGGGUGAUGGUCUACCAGGGCGGCGUGGGGGAGGCGCCGGGAGGGGGUGCGCGGCCAUAGGGGGAGUGAGACGCGCCAGAGACUUCUGGGAGGGAGAGGAGGGGAGAAUAUUGCACAAUGGGCGAGAGCGUGACGCAGCGGCGCCGUGUGGGAGAUCGCGGCCUGCGUGUUGUAAACCCCUUGCCGCAGAGACGAAGCUAGUGUGGCGGAGCGUGCAUAAGAAGCACCGGCUAUCUGCG